RNAcentral lists this ribosomal RNA (797 nucleotides) under uncultured Methanosarcina sp. RNAcentral describes it as "bacterial SSU rRNA". It matches the Rfam family "Archaeal small subunit ribosomal RNA", at positions 85 to 879 of the family's 1478-position model. Lineage: Archaea; Methanobacteriati; Methanobacteriota; Methanomicrobia; Methanosarcinales; Methanosarcinaceae. The record is from RNAcentral.
ACGGCUCNGUAACACGUGGAUAACCUGCCCUUGGGUCCGGCAUAACCCCGGGAAACUGGGGAUAAUUCCGGAUAACGCAUAUAUGCUGGAAUGCUUUAUGCGUAAAAUGGAUUCGUCUGCCCAAGGAUGGGUCUGCGGCCUAUCAGGUAGUAGUGGGUGUAAUGUACCUACUAGCCAACAACGGGUACGGGUUGUGAGAGCAAGAGCCCGGAGAUGGAUUCUGAGACAUGAAUCCAGGCCCUACGGGGCGCAGCAGGCGCGAAAACUUUACAAUGCGGGAAACCGUGAUAAGGGGACACCGAGUGCCAGCAUCAUAUGCUGGCUGUCCAGGUGUGUAAAAUACACCUGUCAGCAAGGGCCGGGCAAGACCGGUGCCAGCCGCCGCGGUAACACCGGCGGCCCGAGUGGUGAUCGUGAUUAUUGGGUCUAAAGGGNGNGGNAGNCGGUUUGGUCAGUCCUCCGGGAAAUCUGACGGCUUAACCGUUAGGCUUUCGGGGGAUACUGCCAGGCUUGGAACCGGGAGAGGUAAGAGGUACUACAGGGGUAGGAGUGAAAUCUUGUAAUCCCCGUGGGACCACCUGUGGCGAAGGCGUCUUACCAGAACGGGUUCGACGGUGAGGGACGAAAGCUGGGGGCACGAACCGGAUUAGAUACCCGGGUAGUCCCAGCCGUAAACGAUGCUCGCUAGGUGUCAGGCAUGGCGCGACCGUGUCUGGUGCCGCAGGGAAGCCGUGAAGCGAGCCACCUGGGAAGUACGGCCGCAAGGCUGAAACUUAAAGGAAUUGGCGGGGGANCAC